AACGUGGAACUCAGUGACGGAGGGCGUGUGUGUGUUAGUCCCGAGCGGAUUCUUGUGUGUAACUGUGGGAACUUUUUUGGGGAAUUGUUUUUGUUAUAAAAAAACACGAUCUUACGAGUUUAUUUAUCGGUGUUUCGUUGGUUGGAUGUUUCUGUGUAUGGGCCUUUGAAGAGGAAAGAGAAAACUAUUGAUAAUACGAGCAAACUUAGCUAAUUCUUGAGUGAUUAGCGUCGUUUUGUGAAAUAAUUCUUGGAUCGGACGAAGCUCAUCUUGGGAGUGUCUUCGACUGCCGCACCUCCACUUUAGUUCAGUGUGAUUGGCUGGCCGCGUGGUGACGUAUCGUGACGUCAACGAUGAGUCACUUGCGAUUGGCUGGAGCCAUUGCGGUACUCCCUCCCCUACCCGAACACAGAUUACAGAGUUCCCGAGAGGUCCACAUGAGGGCCCUGAGUGAGCUCCAGAGUGCUGCCUCCCGCCUCCCACACCCAGGUGAGUGC
This 497-nucleotide unclassified non-coding RNA is filed under the name Penaeus japonicus. RNAcentral describes it as "uncharacterized LOC122249148, transcript variant X1". The record is from RNAcentral. Lineage: Eukaryota; Metazoa; Arthropoda; Malacostraca; Decapoda; Penaeidae.